This 157-nucleotide ribosomal RNA is filed under the name Carex cephalophora. RNAcentral describes it as "5.8S ribosomal RNA". It matches the Rfam family "5.8S ribosomal RNA". Rfam says of the family: 5.8S ribosomal RNA (5.8S rRNA) is a component of the large subunit of the eukaryotic ribosome. It is transcribed by RNA polymerase I as part of the 45S precursor that also contains 18S and 28S rRNA. The record is from RNAcentral. Lineage: Eukaryota; Viridiplantae; Streptophyta; Magnoliopsida; Poales; Cyperaceae.
UAUGACUCUCGGCAACGGAUAUCUCGGCUCUCGCAUCGAUGAAGAACGUAGCAAAAUGCGAUACGUGGUGUGAAUUGCAGAAUCCCGUGAACCAUCGAGUCUUUGAACGCAAGUUGCGCCCGAGGGACCCUCCCGAGGGCACGCCUGCCUCAUGGGC